This 299-nucleotide ribosomal RNA is filed under the name uncultured eukaryote. RNAcentral describes it as "partial large subunit ribosomal RNA". It matches the Rfam family "Eukaryotic large subunit ribosomal RNA", at positions 40 to 350 of the family's 3401-position model. The record is from RNAcentral.
GUAUAACUAAGCGGAGGAAAAGAAACUAACCAGGAUUCCCUCAGUAACGGCGAGUGAAGCGGGAAAAGCUCAGACUGAAAAUCUUCGGAAUUGUAGUCUGUAGAAGCUAUACCAGUAGGUUUGGUCGGUUAAAUCCUCUGGAAUGAGGUGCCAGUGAGGGUGAUAGCCCCGUUCGAGCCGACCAAAACUUGCAUACGGUAGGCUUUCAAAGAGUCGAGUUGCUUGGGAUUGCAGCUCUAAGUGGGUGGUAAAUUCCAUCUAAAGCUAAAUAUUGGUGGGAGACCGAUAGCGCACAAGUA